RNAcentral lists this microRNA (25 nucleotides) under Eptesicus fuscus (big brown bat). Its description in RNAcentral is "efu-miR-9322". Lineage: Eukaryota; Metazoa; Chordata; Mammalia; Chiroptera; Vespertilionidae. The record is from miRBase by way of RNAcentral.
UGUGGAUGGAGGAGGAGUCCCCAGG